UAGAUACCCGGGUAGUCCACGCCGUAAACGAUGUGCACUAGGUAUAGGAGGUAUUGACCCCUUCUGUGCCGUAGCUAACGCAUUAAGUGCACCGCCUGGGGAGUACGGUCGCAAGACUAAAACUCAAAGGAAUUGACGGGGGCCCGCACAAGCGGUGGAUUAUGUGGUUUAAUUCGAAGCAACGCGCAGAACCUUACCUAGGCUUGAAGUCCUACGAACCCUGCCCAAAAGCGGGGGUGCCCCUUGGGGAAUGUAGUGAUAGGCGCUGCAUGGCCGUCGUCAG
Molecule: ribosomal RNA, 283 nt
Filed under: uncultured bacterium
Lineage: Bacteria
Description: partial 16S ribosomal RNA
Rfam family: Bacterial small subunit ribosomal RNA
Source: RNAcentral